GUAGAUGUAUCUCAGUUGAUAGAGUGCUUGUCUGGCAUGCAUAAGGCCCUGGGUUCAAUCUCCAGCACACACA
This 73-nucleotide transfer RNA is filed under the name Ictidomys tridecemlineatus (thirteen-lined ground squirrel). RNAcentral's name for it is "Spermophilus tridecemlineatus (thirteen-lined ground squirrel) tRNA". It matches the Rfam family "tRNA". Rfam says of the family: Transfer RNA (tRNA) molecules are approximately 80 nucleotides in length. Their secondary structure includes four short double-helical elements and three loops (D, anti-codon, and T loops). Lineage: Eukaryota; Metazoa; Chordata; Mammalia; Rodentia; Sciuridae. The record is from Rfam by way of RNAcentral.